Molecule: ribosomal RNA, 495 nt
Filed under: uncultured bacterium
Lineage: Bacteria
Description: partial 16S ribosomal RNA
Rfam family: Bacterial small subunit ribosomal RNA
Source: RNAcentral
GACGAACGCUGGCGGCGUGCCUAAUACAUGCAAGUAGAACGCUGAAGGAGGAGCUUGCUUCUCCGGAUGAGUUGCGAACGGGUGAGUAACGCGUAGGUAACCUGCCUGGUAGCGGGGGAUAACUAUUGGAAACGAUAGCUAAUACCGCAUAAGAGUAGAUGUUGCAUGACAUUUGCUUGAAAGGUGCAAUUGCAUCACUACCAGAUGGACCUGCGUUGUAUUAGCUAGUUGGUGAGGUAACGGCUCACCAAGGCGACGAUACAUAGCCGACCUGAGAGGGUGAUCGGCCACACUGGGACUGAGACACGGCCCAGACUCCUACGGGAGGCAGCAGUAGGGAAUCUUCGGCAAUGGACGGAAGUCUGACCGAGCAACGCCGCGUGAGUGAAGAAGGUUUUCGGAUCGUAAAGCUCUGUUGUAAGAGAAGAACGAGUGUGAGAGUGGAAAGUUCACACUGUGACGGUAUCUUACCAGAAAGGGACGGCUAACUACGUG